RNAcentral lists this unclassified non-coding RNA (329 nucleotides) under soil metagenome. Its description in RNAcentral is "partial contains 5.8S ribosomal RNA, internal transcribed spacer 2, and large subunit ribosomal RNA". The stretch from base 1 to 120 matches the Rfam family "5.8S ribosomal RNA", at positions 35 to 154 of the family's 154-position model. The record is from RNAcentral.
GAUGACGAACGUAGCGAAAUGCGAUAAGUAGUGUGAAUUGCAGAAUUCAGUGAAUCAUCGAAUCUUUGAACGCACAUUGCGCCCCUUGGUAUCCCGAGGGGCAUGCCUGUUCGAGCGUCAUUUCACCACUCAAGCCUGGCUUGGUGUUGGGCGACGUCCCCUUUGGGGACGCGCCUCGAAACGCUCGGCGGCGUGGCACCGGCUUUAAGCGUAGCAGAAUCUUUCGCUUUGGAAGUCGGGGCCCCGUCUGCCGGAAGACCUACUCGCAAGGUUGACCUCGGAUCAGGCAGGGAUACCCGCUGAACUUAAGCAUAUCAAUAAGCGGAGGA